This 872-nucleotide ribosomal RNA is filed under the name Salmonella enterica subsp. enterica serovar Typhimurium. RNAcentral describes it as "partial 23S ribosomal RNA". It matches the Rfam family "Bacterial large subunit ribosomal RNA", at positions 1100 to 1873 of the family's 2925-position model. The record is from RNAcentral. Lineage: Bacteria; Pseudomonadati; Pseudomonadota; Gammaproteobacteria; Enterobacterales; Enterobacteriaceae.
GUUGGCUUAGAAGCAGCCAUCAUUUAAAGAAAGCGUAAUAGCUCACUGGUCGAGUCGGCCUGCGCGGAAGAUGUAACGGGGCUAAACCAUGCACCGAAGCUGCGGCAGCGAACGUAUCACUUAAAGCGAUUCAGCGGGUUACGAUUGACGGAGCGAAGCGACGUCAAAGCGUAUACAAAGUCGAGUCGGUUUAAGGAUACGUUCGUUGGGUAGGGGAGCGUUCUGUAAGCCCGUGAAGGUGGCCUGUGAGGGUUGCUGGAGGUAUCAGAAGUGCGAAUGCUGACAUAAGUAACGAUAAAGCGGGUGAAAAGCCCGCUCGCCGGAAGACCAAGGGUUCCUGUCCAACGUUAAUCGGGGCAGGGUGAGUCGACCCCUAAGGCGAGGCCGAAAGGCGUAGUCGAUGGGAAACGGGUUAAUAUUCCCGUACUUGGUGUUACUGCGAAGGGGGGACGGAGAAGGCUAUGUUGGCCGGGCGACGGUUGUCCCGGUUUAAGCGUGUAGGUGUGUGUUCCAGGUAAAUCCGGUUCACUUUAACACUGAGGCGUGACGACGAGGCACUACGGUGCUGAAGCAACAAAUGCCCUGCUUCCAGGAAAAGCCUCUAAGCAUCAGGUAACAUCAAAUCGUACCCCAAACCGACACAGGUGGUCAGGUAGAGAAUACCAAGGCGCUUGAGAGAACUCGGGUGAAGGAACUAGGCAAAAUGGUGCCGUAACUUCGGGAGAAGGCACGCUGACACGUAGGUGAAGUGAUUUACUCAUGGAGCUGAAGUCAGUCGAAGAUACCAGCUGGCUGCAACUGUUUAUUAAAAACACAGCACUGUGCAAACACGAAAGUGGACGUAUACGGUGUGACGCCUGCCCGGUGCCGGA